RNAcentral lists this ribosomal RNA (549 nucleotides) under Chrysozymaceae sp. SJ13L05. RNAcentral's name for it is "eukaryotic LSU rRNA". It matches the Rfam family "Eukaryotic large subunit ribosomal RNA", at positions 87 to 650 of the family's 3401-position model. Lineage: Eukaryota; Fungi; Basidiomycota; Microbotryomycetes; Chrysozymaceae. The record is from RNAcentral.
CGGCGAGUGAAGCGGGAAGAGCUCAAAUUUGUAAUCUGGCACUUUCAGUGUCCGAGUUGUAAUCUCGAGAAGUGUUUUCCGCGCUGGACCGCAUACAAGUCUGUUGGAAUACAGCGUCAUAGUGGUGAGAACCCCGUAACUGAUGCGGAUGCCCAGUGCUUUGUGAUACACUUUCGAAGAGUCGAGUUGUUUGGGAAUGCAGCUCAAAAUGGGUGGUAAAUUCCAUCUAAAGCUAAAUAUUGGCGAGAGACCGAUAGCGAACAAGUACCGUGAGGGAAAGAUGAAAAGCACCUUGGAAAGGGAGUUAACAGUACGUGAAAUUGUUGGAAGGGAAACGCUUGAAGUCAGACUUGCUAUGUGGAUUUAUUCGCUUCGCAGGCCAGCAUCAGUUUCUGGGGGUGGAAAAGGGUUGGGAGAAUGUAGCAACUCCGGUUGUGUUAUAGCUCCUUUCUGGAUUCAUCUUUGGGGACUGAGGAACGCAGCGCGCUUUUUGCAAGGCUCUCGAGCUUUUCGCGCUUAGGAUGCUGGUGGAAUGGCUUUAAACGACCC